RNAcentral lists this ribosomal RNA (253 nucleotides) under uncultured bacterium. RNAcentral describes it as "partial 16S ribosomal RNA". It matches the Rfam family "Bacterial small subunit ribosomal RNA", at positions 524 to 776 of the family's 1533-position model. The record is from RNAcentral.
UACGUAGGAUGCAAGCGUUGUUCGGAAUUACUGGGCCUAAAGAGUACGUAGGCGGUUUGGUAAGUCUGAUAUUAAAGACCGGAGCUCAACUUCGGGACUGUAUCGGAAACUGUCAGACUAGAGGACAAUAGAGGAAGUCGGAAUUCUCAGUGUAGCGGUGAAAUGCGUAGAUAUUGGGAAGAACACCAGUGGCGAAAGCGGACUUCUGGGUUGUUACUGACGCUGAGGUACGAAAGCGUGGGGAGCAAACGGG